Small nucleolar RNA from Lemur catta (Ring-tailed lemur), 109 nucleotides. RefSeq annotates it as small nucleolar RNA U13. The record is from RefSeq and is a predicted model, not a curated record. The transcript has a single exon. NCBI's taxonomy places the organism in Eukaryota, Metazoa, Chordata, Mammalia, Primates, Lemuridae.
AUCCUUUUGUAGUUCAUAAGUGUGACGAUUGGGUUUUCACGCGCACGUGUGAGCUGUGCCUCCCCAAAUCUUGUUACAAUGUCAAUGUCAGCACGUUAUCCGUCUGACA